AAAACACCCAUUGUGACACAGUUCCUUCAUUUUCAUUUCUGAAAAAACCAGAAUGCUUUAGGAUGAAAAUAAUAUAAAGGUAACAGACCCAAAACAGCUUCAAAAGAUCAUGUGCUAUCCUAGAUCAUGUUCACUCAUAUGUGCUGUUUUGAUGACUCUCUUCUGUACCGGAAUUGGCAAUUUCAAUUCAUCAAAUGAUAAGGUUCAUGAUUUGACUAAUUUGGUGGCAACGAAAGAUAUAUUGGAUGAUGCCGUCCAUGAUUAUCUUCAGGGACAGGAAAAGCGAUAAGCCACUCACAGGAAAUAUAUGAAAGAUUAUUCGAAGGAACACGAGGAGGGAAUACGUAAUAUCUUAUAUCAUAUUUUAAAUUCUAAAAUAUAAAAAAAAAGUUGACGACAAUUUCCAUGCAAUUAUAAAUAUUAUUUCCAUUUGAAUACUUUAAGUAUGAUAUUUAAUUUAAAGAAAACAGCAAUAUUGGUUCAAAGUUUCUCAAUAUCUGAUUGAAAAGUCACCCAAAUUCUGAGUAAUACAAAUCCGAAAAGUUAUGUUGAUAAUGAUGUGGAGAUUGCGGAAAAAGCUGUGGAAGGCGACCCCAGACUAAGACAUCUAUCUCAAAUGCUCCGAAAUAUCCGUAUUGUUGAUAUUUUGGAUAAAAAAUGGUGAAGUGCCUUUGUUUUGGUUGUAAAUCGGAAUAUAAAAGAUAUCGGGAGCAAGACAAAGCUAAAAAAUUCAUUUUUUCAAAGCGCCAAAUUAUCCAAAUAUUCUUAAAGAAUGUCAAAGAGCUAUUUUAAGUGAUAAUAUCCAACUAAAAUCUGGUGAUGCAGUUUAUUCGUUACACUUCAACCCAGAAUAUAUCAUCUGAGAAAAGGUUUUUACGGGACUUGUUGAAAGUGUUGUAGCAACGGCGCCGUAUGUCGGGCCACACCUACGAAAAGGAGCCCUGCCAGCUUUAAAACUUGGUCGUCCGGAAAAACCUGGUCCCAAACCUCGUUCUUUGUGCUUGAAAAUAAAGAAAAAUGGAAGUCAUACGGAAAAUAACAUUUGCAAAAAGAUCAAAAUUUAAAGAGAAUUGAAUAUGAUCAAACUGAAAAUGCUGAUUCUCCCGCUAAAGAACUGGAUCAUUUUGCACUCUUAUUGAAACACAAAUUUGAAAUUUUGACCUGUGUCCACAUGCCAAUUUCGUGGAUGAGAGCAAAUGUUACUUAGGUUAAUCGCCCAGGUAUAGCAUUUUUACGCGAAUUGGAGCAAGAGGCAAAAAUGAAUACGUCGAUUCGAUCUGCAAUAAGAAAAUCACAAUUGACGAUAGUAUGACUAUUGAUCAAAUUAAACGGUAAAUCUAUUGAUCACACAGAGUUUGGGUUUCAAAUUGAGCAGCUGCAUUCCGCAAAAGACGUCGAAGAUUUUAUUGAACUUGUGCAUAACAGAAAGAUGUGUCGAGGUUGCCUGCACAUAAUUCUGCAUGCAGAAAACUCGAAUAACUUCUCAUCGUUUAGUUACCUGGAUAAAGUAGACACCUUGCGACAUAUGCGCUGUUCAUUAAUUCUACCCACUGGUCAAGAGGGCAAGGAAAAGGAAAAAUGCAAAUAUUGCAAGACAGUGAAGGAAUUAUUGAGAAGAAAGAUUAUUCGCAGGCAGCAUAAUAAAUCGUCCAACUAUUUCAAAACCAGUGAUCUAAGUCUGAGAAAGCUCGCAGAGGUGCAAAUAUUAAUAAAAACGCUCAAUUCUACAGGUCAAACAAAAGAAAGAGUUCAAGCAAGGUUGCGCAUGCUGAAAAAAGUGGUUCUUGAAUAUGAGUAUAAAAUUGUGCGAAUAUCGGAAAAAAAACGUUGAUAAAUUGAUUGAUAAGCAUGGCAAAAUCAGUCUCAAUGAGAAAGUGGCUAUCAGAGAGAUAUUCAAAUCUGCUAUACCCGAAGGUUUUUGCUGCGCUGAAUCCGAAUCUGACCUCAGAAAAAUUCCAUCACCCUCAGUUUUCGAGAUAAGAUUUUUCAUAGCCGAGAUAUGGCGGAUUCAAAUAUGAAAAAUUUCAC
Belonocnema kinseyi is the source of this 2028-nucleotide long non-coding RNA. RefSeq lists it as uncharacterized. Lineage: Eukaryota; Metazoa; Arthropoda; Insecta; Hymenoptera; Cynipidae. The transcript is spliced from 6 exons. The record is from RefSeq and is a predicted model, not a curated record.